CCCUCCCUCUGGCGGCAUGCCUAACACAUGCAAGUCGAACGAGACCUUCGGGUCUAGUGGCGCACGGGUGCGUAACGCGUGGGAACCUGCCCUUAGGUUCGGAAUAACUCCCCGAAAGGGGUGCUAAUACCGGAUAAUGUCUUCGGACCAAAGAUUUAUCGCCUUUGGAUGGGCCCGCGUUGGAUUAGCUAGUUGGUAGGGUAAAAGCCUACCAAGGCGACGAUCCAUAGCUGGUCUGAGAGGAUGAUCAGCCACACUGGGACUGAGACACGGCCCAGACUCCUACGGGAGGCAGCAGUGGGGAAUAUUGGACAAUGGGCGAAAGCCUGAUCCAGCAAUGCCGCGUGAGUGAUGAAGGCCUUAGGGUUGUAAAGCUCUUUUAACCGGGAUGAUAAUGACAGUACCGGGAGAAUAAGCUCCGGCUAACUCCGUG
RNAcentral lists this ribosomal RNA (433 nucleotides) under uncultured bacterium. RNAcentral describes it as "partial 16S ribosomal RNA". It matches the Rfam family "Bacterial small subunit ribosomal RNA", at positions 36 to 507 of the family's 1533-position model. The record is from RNAcentral.